AAUGGAUAACCGCUGAAAGCAUCUAAGCGGGAAGCCAACCUCAAGAUAAGAUAUCCCCUUUGUAUGGAAACAUACAAGGCUAAAGACUCCUUGAAGACUACAAGGUUGAUAGGCCAGGAGUGUAAGCAUAGUGAUAUGUUCAGCUUACUGGUACUAAUAGUUCGUGAGGCUUGGCCAU
Molecule: ribosomal RNA, 178 nt
Filed under: Desulfobacterales bacterium
Lineage: Bacteria; Pseudomonadati; Thermodesulfobacteriota; Desulfobacteria; Desulfobacterales
Description: partial 23S ribosomal RNA
Rfam family: Bacterial large subunit ribosomal RNA
Source: RNAcentral